AACGAACGCUGGCGGCAGGCUUAACACAUGCAAGUCGAACGCACCGCAAGGUGAGUGGCAGACGGGUGAGUAACGCGUGGGAAUCUACCCAGUCCUUCGGAAUAACACAGGGAAACUUGUGCUAAUACCGGAUACGCCCUACGGGGGAAAGAUUUAUCGGGAUUGGAUGAGCCCGCGUUGGAUUAGCUAGUUGGUGAGGUAAUGGCUCACCAAGGCGACGAUCCAUAGCUGGUCUGAGAGGAUGAUCAGCCACACUGGGACUGAGACACGGCCCAGACUCCUACGGGAGGCAGCAGUGGGGAAUAUUGGACAAUGGGCGAAAGCCUGAUCCAGCCAUGCCGCGUGAGUGAUGAAGGCCUUAGGGUUGUAAAGCUCUUUCAGUAGGGAAGAUAAUGACGGUACCUACAGAAGAAGCCCCGGCUAACUUCGUGCCAGCAGCCGCCGUAACAC
RNAcentral lists this ribosomal RNA (450 nucleotides) under uncultured bacterium. RNAcentral's name for it is "bacterial SSU rRNA". It matches the Rfam family "Bacterial small subunit ribosomal RNA", at positions 29 to 526 of the family's 1533-position model. The record is from RNAcentral.